RNAcentral lists this ribosomal RNA (253 nucleotides) under uncultured bacterium. RNAcentral's name for it is "partial 16S ribosomal RNA". It matches the Rfam family "Bacterial small subunit ribosomal RNA", at positions 524 to 776 of the family's 1533-position model. The record is from RNAcentral.
UACGUAGGGGGCAAGCGUUAUCCGGAUUUACUGGGUGUAAAGGGAGCGUAGACGGUAUGGCAAGUCUGAAGUGAAAGCCCAGGGCUUAACCCUGGGACUGCUUUGGAAACUGUUAGACUAGAGUGCUGGAGAGGUAAGUGGAAUUCCUAGUGUAGCGGUGAAAUGGGUAGAUAUUAGGAGGAACACCAGUGGCGAAGGCGGCUUACUGGACAGUAACUGACGUUGAGGCUCGAAAGCGUGGGGAGCAAACAGG